This 1765-nucleotide ribosomal RNA is filed under the name Escherichia coli. Its description in RNAcentral is "bacterial LSU rRNA". It matches the Rfam family "Bacterial large subunit ribosomal RNA", at positions 836 to 2583 of the family's 2925-position model. The record is from RNAcentral. Lineage: Bacteria; Pseudomonadati; Pseudomonadota; Gammaproteobacteria; Enterobacterales; Enterobacteriaceae.
AACCGGGAGAUAGCUGGUUCUCCCCGAAAGCUAUUUAGGUAGCGCCUCGUGAACUCAUCUCCGGGGGUAGAGCACUGUUUCGGCAAGGGGGUCAUCCCGACUUACCAACCCGAUGCAAACUGCGAAUACCGGAGAAUGUUAUCACGGGAGACACACGGCGGGUGCUAACGUCCGUCGUGAAGAGGGAAACAACCCAGACCGCCAGCUAAGGUCCCAAAGUCAUGGUUAAGUGGGAAACGAUGUGGGAAGGCCCAGACAGCCAGGAUGUUGGCUUAGAAGCAGCCAUCAUUUAAAGAAAGCGUAAUAGCUCACUGGUCGAGUCGGCCUGCGCGGAAGAUGUAACGGGGCUAAACCAUGCACCGAAGCUGCGGCAGCGACGCUGAUGCGUUGUUGGGUAGGGGAGCGUUCUGUAAGCCUGUGAAGGUGUGCUGUGAGGCAUGCUGGAGGUAUCAGAAGUGCGAAUGCUGACAUAAGUAACGAUAAAGCGGGUGAAAAGCCCGCUCGCCGGAAGACCAAGGGUUCCUGUCCAACGUUAAUCGGGGCAGGGUGAGUCGACCCCUAAGGCGAGGCCGAAAGGCGUAGUCGAUGGGAAACAGGUUAAUAUUCCUGUACUUGGUGUUACUGCGAAGGGGGGACGGAGAAGGCUAUGUUGGCCGGGCGACGGUUGUCCCGGUUUAAGCGUGUAGGCUGGUUUUCCAGGCAAAUCCGGAAAAUCAAGGCUGAGGCGUGAUGACGAGGCACUACGGUGCUGAAGCAACAAAUGCCCUGCUUCCAGGAAAAGCCUCUAAGCAUCAGGUAACAUCAAAUCGUACCCCAAACCGACACAGGUGGUCAGGUAGAGAAUACCAAGGCGCUUGAGAGAACUCGGGUGAAGGAACUAGGCAAAAUGGUGCCGUAACUUCGGGAGAAGGCACGCUGAUAUGUAGGUGAAGUCCCUCGCGGAUGGAGCUGAAAUCAGUCGAAGAUACCAGCUGGCUGCAACUGUUUAUUAAAAACACAGCACUGUGCAAACACGAAAGUGGACGUAUACGGUGUGACGCCUGCCCGGUGCCGGAAGGUUAAUUGAUGGGGUCAGCGCAAGCGAAGCUCUUGAUCGAAGCCCCGGUAAACGGCGGCCGUAACUAUAACGGUCCUAAGGUAGCGAAAUUCCUUGUCGGGUAAGUUCCGACCUGCACGAAUGGCGUAAUGAUGGCCAGGCUGUCUCCACCCGAGACUCAGUGAAAUUGAACUCGCUGUGAAGAUGCAGUGUACCCGCGGCAAGACGGAAAGACCCCGUGAACCUUUACUAUAGCUUGACACUGAACAUUGAGCCUUGAUGUGUAGGAUAGGUGGGAGGCUUAGAAGUGUGGACGCCAGUCUGCAUGGAGCCGACCUUGAAAUACCACCCUUUAAUGUUUGAUGUUCUAACGUUGACCCGUAAUCCGGGUUGCGGACAGUGUCUGGUGGGUAGUUUGACUGGGGCGGUCUCCUCCUAAAGAGUAACGGAGGAGCACGAAGGUUGGCUAAUCCUGGUCGGACAUCAGGAGGUUAGUGCAAUGGCAUAAGCCAGCUUGACUGCGAGCGUGACGGCGCGAGCAGGUGCGAAAGCAGGUCAUAGUGAUCCGGUGGUUCUGAAUGGAAGGGCCAUCGCUCAACGGAUAAAAGGUACUCCGGGGAUAACAGGCUGAUACCGCCCAAGAGUUCAUAUCGACGGCGGUGUUUGGCACCUCGAUGUCGGCUCAUCACAUCCUGGGGCUGAAGUAGGUCCCAAGGGUAUGGCUGUUCG